GCCGAGGUAGCUCAGUCGGUAGAGCAGAGGACUGAAAAUCCUCGUGUCGGGGGUUCAAUUCCCUCCCUCGGCACCA
RNAcentral lists this transfer RNA (76 nucleotides) under Nitrospinota bacterium. RNAcentral's name for it is "tRNA-Phe". It matches the Rfam family "tRNA". From Rfam's summary of the family: Transfer RNA (tRNA) molecules are approximately 80 nucleotides in length. Their secondary structure includes four short double-helical elements and three loops (D, anti-codon, and T loops). Further hydrogen bonds mediate the characteristic L-shaped molecular structure. tRNAs have two regions of fundamental functional importance: the anti-codon, which is responsible for specific mRNA codon recognition, and the 3' end, to which the tRNAs corresponding amino acid is attached (by aminoacyl-tRNA synthetases). tRNAs cope with the degeneracy of the genetic code in two manners: having more than one tRNA (with a specific anti-codon) for a particular amino acid; and 'wobble' base-pairing, i.e. permitting non-standard base-pairing at the 3rd anti-codon position. Lineage: Bacteria; Pseudomonadati; Nitrospinota. The record is from RNAcentral.